RNAcentral lists this non-coding RNA (779 nucleotides) under Cnaphalocrocis medinalis (rice leaffolder). The record is from RNAcentral. Lineage: Eukaryota; Metazoa; Arthropoda; Insecta; Lepidoptera; Crambidae.
AAAUAAAUUUUUUAUAGUUUAAUAAUUUUAUUAUAAAUUUAUUUUACAUAUAAAUUUUAGUGUUAAUUUUUAAUUAUUUUAAUAAUAAUUAAUUUAUUUUAAUAGUAAUUAAUAUUAAAAAUUUAAGAAAUUAAGAUUUAGUAAUAUUUAAAUUAAUAACAAAUUUUGUGCCAGCAGUUGCGGUUAUACAAAAAUUAAAUUGAAUUUUAUUAGUAAUUAAUAAAUAAAAAAUUAUAUUUAAUUAAAUAUUAAUUUAUUAAGUGAAAUUUUAAUUUAAUUAAAAUUAAAUUUAAAAUUAUAAUUUAAUAAAUUUUAUUUAUAAACUAGGAUUAGAUACCCUAUUAUUAAAAAUUUAAAUUAAAAUACUAAAAUAGUAUAUAAUUAUUUAUUGAAACUUAAAUAAUUUGGCGGUAUUUUAGUUCAUUUAGAGGAAUCUGUUUAAUCAUUGAUAAUCCACGAAUAAAUUUACUUAAUUUAUUAUUUUGUAUAUCGUUGUUAAAAAAAUAUUUAUAAAUAAAAAUAAUAUUUUAAUUUUAUAAAUUAAAAUUAAAUCAGAUCAAGAUACAGAUUAUAAUUAAGAAUAUAAUGGAUUACAAUAAAUUUAUUUAUAACUGAUAUUUAUUUGUAAGAAUUAAUUGAGGGUGGAUUUAAAUGUAAUUUUAUUUAAUUUAUUAAAAUGAUUAAAAAUUAAAAUAUGUACAUAUUGCCCGUCGCUUUCAUAAAUAAAUUGAAAUAAGUCGUAACAAAGUAGAGGUACUGGAAAGUGUUUCUAGAAAUAA